RNAcentral lists this ribosomal RNA (821 nucleotides) under Lacticaseibacillus paracasei. RNAcentral's name for it is "bacterial SSU rRNA". It matches the Rfam family "Bacterial small subunit ribosomal RNA", at positions 1 to 765 of the family's 1533-position model. The record is from RNAcentral. Lineage: Bacteria; Bacillati; Bacillota; Bacilli; Lactobacillales; Lactobacillaceae.
GGGGGAGAGGAGUGACUUUAUAUAUAUAUUUUGUUUUUUUUUUUGUAGGAUGAACGCUGGCGGCGUGCCUAAUACAUGCAAGUCGAACGAGUUCUCGUUGAUGAUCGGUGCUUGCACCGAGAUUCAACAUGGAACGAGUGGCGGACGGGUGAGUAACACGUGGGUAACCUGCCCUUAAGUGGGGGAUAACAUUUGGAAACAGAUGCUAAUACCGCAUAGAUCCAAGAACCGCAUGGUUCUUGGCUGAAAGAUGGCGUAAGCUAUCGCUUUUGGAUGGACCCGCGGCGUAUUAGCUAGUUGGUGAGGUAAUGGCUCACCAAGGCGAUGAUACGUAGCCGAACUGAGAGGUUGAUCGGCCACAUUGGGACUGAGACACGGCCCAAACUCCUACGGGAGGCAGCAGUAGGGAAUCUUCCACAAUGGACGCAAGUCUGAUGGAGCAACGCCGCGUGAGUGAAGAAGGCUUUCGGGUCGUAAAACUCUGUUGUUGGAGAAGAAUGGUCGGCAGAGUAACUGUUGUCGGCGUGACGGUAUCCAACCAGAAAGCCACGGCUAACUACGUGCCAGCAGCCGCGGUAAUACGUAGGUGGCAAGCGUUAUCCGGAUUUAUUGGGCGUAAAGCGAGCGCAGGCGGUUUUUUAAGUCUGAUGUGAAAGCCCUCGGCUUAACCGAGGAAGCGCAUCGGAAACUGGGAAACUUGAGUGCAGAAGAGGACAGUGGAACUCCAUGUGUAGCGGUGAAAUGCGUAGAUAUAUGGAAGAACACCAGUGGCGAAGGCGGCUGUCUGGUCUGUAACUGACGCUGAGGCUCGAAAAGACCGG